This 77-nucleotide transfer RNA is filed under the name Marinobacter lutaoensis. RNAcentral's name for it is "tRNA-Arg". It matches the Rfam family "tRNA". From Rfam's summary of the family: Transfer RNA (tRNA) molecules are approximately 80 nucleotides in length. Their secondary structure includes four short double-helical elements and three loops (D, anti-codon, and T loops). Further hydrogen bonds mediate the characteristic L-shaped molecular structure. tRNAs have two regions of fundamental functional importance: the anti-codon, which is responsible for specific mRNA codon recognition, and the 3' end, to which the tRNAs corresponding amino acid is attached (by aminoacyl-tRNA synthetases). tRNAs cope with the degeneracy of the genetic code in two manners: having more than one tRNA (with a specific anti-codon) for a particular amino acid; and 'wobble' base-pairing, i.e. permitting non-standard base-pairing at the 3rd anti-codon position. Lineage: Bacteria; Pseudomonadati; Pseudomonadota; Gammaproteobacteria; Pseudomonadales; Marinobacteraceae. The record is from RNAcentral. RNAcentral also lists the same sequence under 5 other names.
GCGCCCGUAGCUCAGCUGGAUAGAGCAACGGCCUUCUAAGCCGUGGGUCGCAGGUUCGAAUCCUGCCGGGCGUGCCA